CUCGGCCUCUUCCAGCGACGCGCACACGAAGCUCACCAUGACGAGUCUGCACGGCGAGCAUGAGCCGCACGCGUGCGAGCAGUCCGGCAAGCUUGAGCCGGCGAUUUGAAGCGUGUCCGGACCCUUUCUCUUCGUUGGAGUUAAGUAGAGGGAGGAGGAAAACCAUACGUGUUCUUGGCCGGCUUAUGUGUCUGGCAGAUGAGAUAGCAGGAACAAGGAGAAGAACAGUGAGAAUUGCAGCAAUACAAACAAAACCCUUCAUAGCUUUCACUACUUUUUCUGGCUUUUAUUUCAAGCUUUUGAUUUUCUCAAUGUGGGUGUACGUUGUAUCUUAAUUUUCUCUCUUGUCAAACAAUGAAGUGGGUAAAUGAGGUGAAACUUGAGAAGCAAGGGGCAGAGGUCGGAUGAAUAUUUAAAUAGGGUGGGAAAUGUGUAUUGAAGCAAAUCACAGACAAGAGUGUGAUACAAGAGAAUUCACAUGAAUAAAAAGGUGAUGUACAUGGUGUCUUCAACAAGUCACAAGACUCAACCUUUAGUAGUUUCCAUUGAAGGUGUUUGAAGAAAUUUCUGAAUUAAAAAUCCUUCCUUUUUCGUGAAUUCUGACUUGAAACUUUGCCGCCAAUACAUACAUCAUUAAAUGCUUUUCUGUGGAGGUUUUUUUUUAAAUUUUUUCAAAGUGUUAAGGAAAUGGGGAGAGGGGUCUAAUGCUGUGACUGCCAUUAAUGUCUCAUUUGUUCUUUGAUGGACCACUCUCACAAGCAUUGUAUGCUAUUGUAUCUAUCCAUAUAUUUAUGUCUAGUCCUUGUAUACAAAUUCUUACAGACCCAGAAAUCAACUUUAUUAGCCUUAUAGUACACUAUAUGUCAAACGACAGCAGUACUAUUUUAAUUACUAA
Molecule: long non-coding RNA, 895 nt
Organism: Carica papaya (papaya)
Lineage: Eukaryota; Viridiplantae; Streptophyta; Magnoliopsida; Brassicales; Caricaceae
Source: RefSeq, a predicted model, not a curated record